Molecule: ribosomal RNA, 253 nt
Filed under: Escherichia coli
Lineage: Bacteria; Pseudomonadati; Pseudomonadota; Gammaproteobacteria; Enterobacterales; Enterobacteriaceae
Also listed under: 1 other name
Description: partial 16S ribosomal RNA
Rfam family: Bacterial small subunit ribosomal RNA
Source: RNAcentral
AAAUUGAAGAGUUUGAUCAUGGCUCAGAUUGAACGCUGGCGGCAGGCCUAACACAUGCAAGUCGAACGGUAACAGGAAGCAGCUUGCUGCUUCGCUGACGAGUGGCGGACGGGUGAGUAAUGUCUGGGAAACUGCCUGAUGGAGGGGGAUAACUACUGGAAACGGUAGCUAAUACCGCAUAACGUCGCAAGACCAAAGAGGGGGACCUUCGGGCCUCUUGCCAUCGGAUGUGCCCAGAUGGGAUUAGCUUGUU